RNAcentral lists this ribosomal RNA (841 nucleotides) under uncultured bacterium. RNAcentral describes it as "bacterial SSU rRNA". It matches the Rfam family "Bacterial small subunit ribosomal RNA", at positions 10 to 859 of the family's 1533-position model. The record is from RNAcentral.
GAUUUGGUCCUGGGUUCAGGAGGAACGCUGGCGGCGUGCCUUACCCCAUCCAAGUCGAGCGAAUGAAUUUCCUUGGGGAACGGAUUUAGCGGCGGGACGGGUGAGUAACACGUGGGCAACCUGCCUCUUAGAGGGGAAUAGCCUUCCGUAAGGGAGAAUUAAUACCGCCUACGUUUGUAGUACCGCAUGGUACAGCAAUUAAAGGAGCAAUCCGGUAUGAGAUGGGCCCGCGGCGCAUUAGUUAGUUGGUGAGGUAACGGCUCACCAAGGCGACGAUGCGUAGCAGACCUGAGAGGGUGAUCGGCCACAUCGGGAGUGAGACACGCCCCAGACUCCUACGGGAGGCAGCAGUGGGGAAUAUUGCACAAUCGGGGAAACCCUGAUGCAGCAACGCCGCGUGAGUGAUGACGGCCUUCGGGUUGUAAAGCUCUGUCUUCAGGGACGAUAAUGACGGUACUUGAGGAGGAAGCCACGGCUAACUACGUGCCAGCAGCCGCGGUAAUACGUAGGUGGCGAGCGUUGUCCUGAUUUACUGGGCGUAAAGGGAGCGUAGGCGGAUUUUUAAGUGAGAUGUGAAAUACUCGGGCUUAACCUGAGUGGUGCAUUUCAAACUGAAAGUGUAGAGUGCAGGAGAGGAGAAGGGAAUUCCUAGUGUAGCGGUGAAAUGCGUAGAGAUUAGGAAGAACACCAGUGGCGAAGGCGCUUCUCUGGACUGUAACUGACGCUGAGGCUGGAAAGCGUGGGGAGCAACCAGGAUUAGAUACCCUGGUAGUCCUCCCCGCUAACACGAUGAAUACUGAGGUGUAGGGGUUGUCAUGACCUCUGUGCCGCCGCUAACGCA